GAUAUGGCGAAAUUGGUAGACGCUACGGACUUAAU
Molecule: transfer RNA, 35 nt
Filed under: Trachelium caeruleum
Lineage: Eukaryota; Viridiplantae; Streptophyta; Magnoliopsida; Asterales; Campanulaceae
Description: tRNA-Leu
Source: RNAcentral